UACGAAGGGUGCAAGCGUUACUCGGAAUUACUGGGCGUAAAGCGUGCGUAGGUGGUUGUUUAAGUCUGUCGUGAAAGCCCUGGGCUCAACCUGGGAAUUGCGAUGGAAACUGGGCGACUAGAGUGUGGCAGAGGGUAGUGGAAUUCCUGGUGUAGCAGUGAAAUGCGUAGAGAUCAGGAGGAACAUCCGUGGCGAAGGCGACUGCCUGGGCCAACACUGACACUGAGGCACGAAAGCGUGGGGAGCAAACAGGAUUAGAUACCCUGGUAGUCCACGCCCUAAACGAUGCGAACUGGAUGUUGGGUGCAAUUUGGCACGCAGUAUCGAAGCUAACGCGUUAAGUUCGCCGCCUGGGGAGUACGGUCGCAAGACUGAA
RNAcentral lists this ribosomal RNA (376 nucleotides) under uncultured bacterium. Its description in RNAcentral is "bacterial SSU rRNA". It matches the Rfam family "Bacterial small subunit ribosomal RNA", at positions 524 to 898 of the family's 1533-position model. The record is from RNAcentral. RNAcentral also lists the same sequence under 1 other name.